Molecule: ribosomal RNA, 381 nt
Filed under: uncultured eukaryote
Lineage: Eukaryota
Description: partial 18S ribosomal RNA
Rfam family: Eukaryotic small subunit ribosomal RNA
Source: RNAcentral
CAAUAGCGUAUAUUAAGGUUGUUGCGGUUAAAAAGCUCGUAGUUGGAUUUCUGCCGAGGACGACCGGUCCGCCCUCUGGGUGUGUAUCUGGUUUGGCCUGGGCAUCUUCUUGGAGAACGUAGCUGCACUUGACUGUGUGGUGCGGUGUCCAGGACUUUUACUUUGAGGAAAUUAGAGUGUUUCAAGCAGGCACACGCCUUGAAUACAUUAGCAUGGAAUAAUAAGAUAAGACUUUGGUGGUCUAUUUUGUUGGUUUGCACGCCAAAGUAAUGAUUAAUAGGGAUAGUUGGGGGUAUUCGUAUUCUAUUGCUAGAGGUGAAAUUCUUAAAUUUAUGGAAGACGAACUACUGCGAAAGCAUUUACCAAGGAUGUUUUCAUUAA